ACACACACACACACACACACACAUAUAUAUAUAUUGCAGUCUGAUAAGAUAAACAGCACAUUGAAACAAUUUCUCAAAAGACUUAGAUACUUCAGAAAAGAAGAUACAUGAAUGGUCAAUUAGCAUAGGAAAAGAUGCUCCACUGUUUAGUCAUCAGGGAGAUCAAUCAGUGCAACAAUGAGAUACCAGUACAUAUCCAUAAGAAUGGCUAAAAUUAAAAAGGCUGAAAAUAGCACCUGUUGGUGAGGAUAUAAAGCACUUGGAAGUCUUAUACUUGUAGGAAUGAAAAAUGGUAUGGCUCCUUUGAAAAUCUAACAGUUUCUUAAAGGUUAAACGUAACACAAAUCAGAUAGACAGUCAUUCCAUUCCUAGGAAUUUACACACUGUGUCUGCACAAUGAUCUGUAUGUGUGUUUCCAGACCAACCUGAGGGGCGGGAUGCUGUUUCUCGUGGCUCCGUAACGAGACACAGAUGAACUGGGGAGGAAGAGAGUUUUGACUUCUGCAACUGGUUACAGGGAAACGGCCUGGAAAUUAUCACCAGACCAACUCAAAAUUGGAAAGUUUUCCUGAGCUAAUGUACCUUCUAAGCUAUAUGUGUAUGUGGAAGUGUGCAUUCAUCUAAAUACAUAAAUGAUUAACUUCUUUUAAUCUAUAAGUCUGAGUCCUGAAGACCUUCCUCUGGAACCUCAGUUAAAUUCAGUUAAUCUAAAUGGGUCUAGGUGCUGGGGGCCCUUAUCUUGUCUCCUGCUAAAUCACAGAGGUUUGGAGAGUCCCUUCAGAUCUCCAAUAAACUUGUUUGUGGAGGCCUGGGGAGUUUCUUCAGACCCCCAAUAAAACUCGUUUAAUACUAAAUGGCUCCUGUUAAGAAUGCCUUCGUUAUUUCGUCAUGCUUUAAGGCCCAGGAAAAACCUAGGCAAAACUCUUGGUGGGCUUUUGUUACAUUCCAGCCUUUGUAUAAGGGCACUGGCUUCUUUUUUUUUUUUCCUCUUAAUAUUUAAUUGAACCACUCAGUCGGUACUGAAACAGUUGUUAGGGAGGCCUGUGUUAGUGAGACCUGGCCUGCCACGUAUGGAUGCUCAUGAUAGUUUCUUCAUAAUAGCCCAAACGCGGAAUGAUAGAAAUGUCCAAUAAUAAGUGAAAGUACAAACAUACAUGGUAUAGCCACACGAAGGAAUACUACUCAGUAUUUACGAGACAUUACAGAUGGAUUUUAAAAUUACAUUGAUGCAUGAAAGAAGGCAGACACAAAAGAACACAGGUAUCAUUUCAUUUAUAGAAAAUGGUUAAAAAUGCAAACGGACCUGAAGUGACAGUGGCUCCUUGGGGCUGAGGGUUGAAAGGCUGAUGAACUGCAAAGGGGUACAAGAAACUUUGGGGCAUAGGGAAUUUCCUCUAUCUUGGUUGUGGCAGUAGUUCCGUUAGUGUAUCCAUUUGUAAACGUGCAUUGAAUUACACAUUUUAAAGUGGUGCAGUCUGUUGUACCGAAAUUAUGCCUUUAUAAAGUUGAUUUCAUCAUCUUAAUUUCUCCAUACUAGCAAUUAGCAGCUAGAAAAUGAAAUUCAAUAAAACAUAAUAGAGAUUAAUAACCAGAAUCAUUACAUGCUUAACAAUACAUGCAAUGAAGCAGGUACGAGGCCCCUAAAAGCAAUUGGUGAGAAAAAUUAAGGCUAAAUAAAUAUAUAUCAUGUUUAUUGAUUGGAAGACUCAAUUUUGUUAGCAUAUUACAUCAACACAAUUCUGAUUAAUAUUUCUAGUAGGAGAUUUUAGAGAAAUUUGAAAGCUAGUUUCAAAAUGUAUUUGAAAAUCAAAGAACCUAGAAUAAGCAAGUCGGUCUU
This 1837-nucleotide long non-coding RNA is filed under the name Homo sapiens (human). RNAcentral's name for it is "HSALNT0295302". The record is from RNAcentral. Lineage: Eukaryota; Metazoa; Chordata; Mammalia; Primates; Hominidae.